GGAGACGCUCAGUGGGCCUUACUCCUAACCCAAGGCUGGGAUGCUGUGCCCUCCUUUCUUCAAUCAAGAGCCUGAAGGAAACUUGAGAGCAGGGCCAUGUCUGGCUCACUUCUGUGUCCCAAUAUGACCCAGAUGGAGAAAGCAGGGCUCAGAGACCCAAGGCCUGGCUCAAGGUCACAGAGCAUGGCCAGAGCCAAUCAGACCCACCUGGACCAACUCCCUCUCCCCACUGACAGAGAUGCUCUAAAAGUGUGAAUCCAAGGGCAGGGGCUUUAGUUGUGCAGCCCUAAAGUUGAUAAAGGUGGCCAGUCCCAGAACUAGAGAAGAGAAGACUGGGUUGAAAACAAGAGCUGUCAUGUGAAUAAGACUAAACCAGCUUGCUGAAGGAUGAAAAACCAUGAGGAAGAGACCCAAGUCAGCCCAAUUCUCCCCGCUGAAGCCACCUCAGACCAGCCAUACCCCAGCCGACCCACUGAUUGCAGAUUUGUGAAUCAGCCCAGCAAAGAUCAGCCAAGCUGAGCCCAGAACUGCCAAACUACCCAGCCAAUCUGCAAACUUGUGAGCUAAAUAAAUGCUUUACAUAAUUAAGU
RNAcentral lists this long non-coding RNA (590 nucleotides) under Homo sapiens (human). RNAcentral's name for it is "HSALNT0174715". Lineage: Eukaryota; Metazoa; Chordata; Mammalia; Primates; Hominidae. The record is from RNAcentral.